Molecule: ribosomal RNA, 253 nt
Filed under: uncultured bacterium
Lineage: Bacteria
Description: partial 16S ribosomal RNA
Rfam family: Bacterial small subunit ribosomal RNA
Source: RNAcentral
UACGAACUGCGCGAACGUUAUUCGGAAUCACUGGGCUUACAGGGUGCGUAGGCGGCCAGCCAGGUCCGAUGUGAAAUCCCACAGCUCAACUGUGGAAUGGCAUUGGAAACCGGUUGGCUCGAGUGAGCUAGAGGUACACGGAACUUCCGGUGGAGCGGUGAAAUGUGUUGAGAUCGGAAGGAACACCAGAGGCGAAGGCGGUGUACUGGGGCUUGUCUGACGCUGAGGCACGAAAGCCAGGGGAGCGAACGGG